This 496-nucleotide ribosomal RNA is filed under the name uncultured bacterium. RNAcentral's name for it is "partial 16S ribosomal RNA". It matches the Rfam family "Bacterial small subunit ribosomal RNA", at positions 28 to 506 of the family's 1533-position model. The record is from RNAcentral.
GAUGAACGCUGGCGGCGUGCCUAAUACAUGCAAGUCGAGCGAACGGACGAGAAGCUUGCUUUUCUGAUGUUAGAGGCGGACGGGUGAGUAACACGUGGAUAACCUACCUAUAAGACUGGGAUAACUUCGGGAAACCGGAGCUAAUACCGGAUAAUAUUUUGAACCGCAUGGUUCAAAAGUGAAAGACGGUCUUGCUGUCACUUAUAGAUGGAUCCGCGCUGCAUUAGCUAGUUGGUAAGGUAACGGCUUACCAAGGCAACGAUGCAUAGCCGACCUGAGAGGGUGAUCGGCCACACUGGAACUGAGACACGGUCCAGACUCCUACGGGAGGCAGCAGUAGGGAAUCUUCCGCAAUGGGCGAAAGCCUGACGGAGCAACGCCGCGUGAGUGAUGAAGGUCUUCGGAUCGUAAAACUCUGUUAUUAGGGAAGAACAUAUGUGUAAGUAACUGUGCACAUCUUGACGGUACCUAAGCAGAAAGCCACGGCUAACUACGU